AUCAGUUAUAUUACAAUAGAAGAACUUGAGCAAGCUCUUCGAGAGUUUGGCAUGAAUGAUGGGAAGGACAUAAAGGAAAUCAUUUCAGAAGUUGACGCUGAUAAUGAUGGCCGAAUUAACUAUGAUGAGUUUGCAGCCAUGAUGAACAAAGGUAAUCCAGAUGCGUUAACAAACCCCAAAAAACGACGAGACGUUUCACUCCCUAAAUUUGAUUAAGUUCAACAUGUAGAUCUAUAAAUUCAUCAUAUACCUCAAUUUCCUCAUCAGAACACUAAUGUACAUGUAAGAUGCUAAAAUCAUGAACGCUAAUGUACAUGUCGUAAGGUGCUAAAAUCUGUAAGAAAUAUAGUGAGGCCUUUUUCAAGAGAUUAAUAGUAUUUGAGGUUUAUGUGAUACUAGGGGUGCUAGCUUGAUUGGAUGUACAAAUACUUGUACCAAUGAGAUAGAAACAACUACUUUAUCUCUAUUGAUGUAGCAUCCAAAAUAUUACACAUGAACAGACAUUGAUUCUUCUGGUA
This is a long non-coding RNA of Olea europaea var. sylvestris, 518 nucleotides long. RefSeq lists it as uncharacterized. NCBI's taxonomy places the organism in Eukaryota, Viridiplantae, Streptophyta, Magnoliopsida, Lamiales, Oleaceae. The record is from RefSeq and is a predicted model, not a curated record. The transcript has 2 exons.